UAAUUAGUAAGCAUAAACCAAAGGAAAAAAAAAAAAGAAACGAAAAAAAAAAGCCCAAUGAGAGGAAUUACUUUAUUACUAUUUCCGACCAAAUCAGACUUGGAUCAAAGCCAGAUUUUAUUAAUAUUUCGUCCUUAACAUUACAAACAACAUUAACAGUACGAAACUGUCAGGUCGUCCACUAGGCUCACUGUAACCUUGAUCUGGUGGUGCGGAAGUUAACAAGUUUCCAGUUCGCCUUUGCGUGGUGGAGGUCAGCCGCCAGUUGAGGUGGCUUUAGGUUAUUCCGGCAGAGUGGACAAGUCCUGUGCCCAUGUCGUACCCAUUUAUCUAAGCAAACUCUGUGAUAAAAAUGGUUGCAUCUCAGCUCUCUAAUCUCAGUCCCUUCGUCAAUUCUGCAUAAACAAACAGCACACUCGACUGAUGAAUCCCCAAACUCUGCAUUAUUAACGUUUUCAUAACGCGUUACAGAAAGCUCAUCAGUAUAGUCUGGUGACUCAAUUUCUUGAGGCCGAAAGAAGGAUUGGAGAAGAAGGUAAUCCCAUGUAAACUGCAACAAGCGUGCAAUAAAAAUUAUGUAUUUCAUUAAUACAACAGAGCUUGGCUGCAACCUAAGUUGAAUCAUCUUAUAUAUAGAAUAUAUAGUUUCUUGGAAAUAAUGUUCUAUUGCUGCAGAUUGUUUUACAAGUAAAAUGGUAUUAUGGCAG
RNAcentral lists this long non-coding RNA (707 nucleotides) under Olea europaea subsp. europaea. Lineage: Eukaryota; Viridiplantae; Streptophyta; Magnoliopsida; Lamiales; Oleaceae. The record is from RNAcentral.